Molecule: long non-coding RNA, 1331 nt
Organism: Tachysurus fulvidraco (yellow catfish)
Lineage: Eukaryota; Metazoa; Chordata; Actinopteri; Siluriformes; Bagridae
Exons: 2
Source: RefSeq, a predicted model, not a curated record
AUCAUCUCCAGCCUCCUCUGAAGCUUGCUUGACAACCACACUGGUGAGGUCAGGACGGCGUGGCAGAUGCGUCGUGGUUCUGCUUGUCUGCGUCUCUGUCGUUUCAGGUGUCUCAAAUCUGAAGCUUCUCAGCAGAGGGAAGUCCACCUGGAGCUGACCGGUAUCUCGGUCCCAGUUACAAAAAGUAGUUUGCAUAAAUUCUUCUUCCUCUUCUUCUUCUUCAUUUCCCUCCUGUGCUUGUUCUGUCUUUUCAGUCUGUGCCAUGUAUGACGUGACCACCUGGGGGUUAUUCGGGCAGCGGGUGAGCUGGUUCCUAUCUUCCUGGUGUACCAAGCAGUAAUCCUCUUUCAGAGAGUUGCGACAGCUUUGUGAACCCGAUUCUGCUUCUGCUUCUGAGGUCUGCGGGAUGUUCUGCACUGCAUAAGCUCCUCUUAUUGUUUCGCUCACCUCAGGAAGUUGCAAGGGCUUGGGAAUGUCGACACCACCAUGAAAUGACCCGAGGAAACCGCACUUUGAUUCCCCCAUGCUCAGCAUACUGUACCACUCGACUAGCCAGUUAAGGAGCGCCUGAAUUCCAGAUCGAGGGCUGAAAUGAAACUAUGCAGGAGAGCGACAUUUCAGAAAUCAAGACACGCCCGAUCACAUUUCAGCUCGUCAUUAGCAAACCUCUCGGAGAAGGCUGACUCAACAGAGACACACCGGUUAGAAAGAAAGCAGAGACGUCACACAGACUCCGGUACGAUCACACGUGUCUCGACUGCUGUGUUCUCAGACACACUGCGUUCUCAGAACUCAAACCUUCGCCACAAUGAUCACUGCCAGGUUUACUAGUGUCCUGAUGCUCAGCUGAACCAUAUCAUGUCUGGUUUGUUUUUAGUGAAGUGUGUCAGUGUUUCUGGUACGCUGCUUUACAUGCAGUAUCUUGGUUAAAUACGGUACGCUAGACGUACAGUCAGGAGUAUUUCUGAUAUGACCCAUGUGUAAAUACUAGGACAACAGUGUAAUAACUAAUACUUCUGAGAUUUACAAAAGAGUAAAUUAGUAUUUCUGAGUAUUUAGAGACCACAGAGUACUAAUAUUUUUGCGAUAUUACUUUGAUUACUUGGAGAUCAUUUGAGUAUUUUUGAUUUUUUUUUAAGUAUUUGUAAGUGCAGGUGAAGAAAAGGUGAAACUUGUUCUAAAAUCCCUGCUGCCCUCGUUAUUUAUUUAUUUAUUUAUUUAUUUAUUUAUUUAUUUAUUUAUUUAUUUAUCAUUUGUGAGUGAGUUAUGAUCCUUUCACUCGAAUCUAUUAUUAUUACUGAUACAUCCAGAAUACAUUUUUAUCCAUUUAA